CUCUCCUGGACCUGGACCCUUCCAACUACACCUUUUCUACUUUCUCUGAAAUGAUAGGCAACGACUUAUAGGCUUCAACUGAAUAUAGCUUCAGCCUCAGAAGACGUAAUGAAAAAUAACACAUGAUGAAAUCCUGUCUUGUCAAAGACCAUAUUUGUUACCUUCCCUUCCUCUGAUUGCCCCCAGACCAAAUGUAGCUCAACCUUGAGCUGCAAGAGGACAUCAUGAGAAUUGAGACUUGCUAACUGAAUUGUGAUGGGUGGUGUGAGAAGGUGUUCUUCUGCAUUGAGGGUUCUGCUUGCAUCAUUCCAUUUGACUUUUGUUUCCCUGGAACUUGGGGCUUUGUUGCCAGCAGCGAAGUCUGCUGACUGAAAACUGUCACAACAGCGAUCAUCGCAAUCCGGGAGUUGAGUUUGACUGGAACAUAUGUCUUCAAUUUUGAUAGCUCAGCUUCCCAGAUGCCCUAGAGGAGAAUAUUGCCUGAGAAGGAGCUUUUCAUAGACUUGACAGGGUCCAUUCCCAACUUGGAGACUUUGCCUGACAGAAAAAUAUGCAACAGAACAAAUAUUCAAAAUAAAAUCUAACUGAUUUGCCAUUUCCUCCACGUCAAGUGAAGUCAUACACAUUCUGAAUCAGAGUCUCUUUUGUUGUGGUUAAAUUGAUUCUUGAACACAAACCGUUUGAAAACAUGCAAUGAAAAAAAAAGGAGAAUAAAGAAAAACCAAAGCAUCAAAUUAUCCAUGGCUAAAACUUUUUGAAUUUAGCGCAUAAUCAAAGCAACCAUAAAUGGCAGUGUUGCCAACAUUCAGUGAUGGCCAAAGGACUUUGCUUCUUUUCCCUCUUUUUACCACUGACUUCCAAUAUCGUAACAUUUUGAAAAUCCUUUAGAGAUUUGAAUCUCUUUGUAUUCUCUCUCCCAUCUUGAUCUCACAGGUGUGGGGCAGAAACCAAGAAUAAUGGCUCCCAACUUGUUUUUUAACUGCUUGUAAAGGACCUUUGACUAAAUGGCAAAGCCACUCUUCUUUUUUAUGUGGACAAAUCCAUGUCCACAAAACCUUGAUUUUUCGUGUGAUUACAGUGAAGCUCUUCCUCCUUUUUAAACACAUGGUGGACCUAUUCCUUAUCCUGACAUAUCAUCCAGCUUUGUUUCUGUUUUCCCCUCUGGGGAAGAUAAUGUGGUUUACAUUCUUUUAGAAGUCUUGGACACCAAGAAUGUUGAGGUCAGCCCAACUGGGGAAGUGAAGGAAAGAAUGUCAGUUAACCCAAUGGUGAAACCUCAGGAGUGUGCUUUGUAAAGACCAUUUUCUCCCUGUUUUUCUUUUUACCUCUUUGUAUAUUAACCACAAAUAACCACCAGCCUUUAAAUCAGCUUCACAAGAAGCCACCAACAAAUGUUUAAAGCAUCUCAACAAUGUUUCCAAGAAAGUC
Molecule: long non-coding RNA, 1428 nt
Organism: Canis lupus familiaris (dog)
Lineage: Eukaryota; Metazoa; Chordata; Mammalia; Carnivora; Canidae
Exons: 3
Source: RefSeq, a predicted model, not a curated record